Molecule: non-coding RNA, 172 nt
Organism: Lupinus albus (white lupine)
Lineage: Eukaryota; Viridiplantae; Streptophyta; Magnoliopsida; Fabales; Fabaceae
Source: the annotation of a GenBank genome assembly
CAGCUGGAAUAGCUCAGUUGGUUAGAGCGUGUGGCUGUUAACCACAAGGUCGGAGGUUCAAGCCCUCCUUCUAGCGUUUAUCAUGUAAUUUUGAGGUUUAAUUCUUUUCAAAGGAACCAUUUAAAUUUAGUCUAGUUCAUAAUUCUAGAGAUUCAGAAACCAACUGAAUCGA